AUGACAAAUAUGGUUCGAUGGCUCUUCUCUACUAACCACAAGGAUAUUGGGACUCUCUAUUUCAUCUUCGGUGCCAUUGCAGGAGUGAUGGGCACAUGCUUCUCCGUACUGAUUCGUAUGGAAUUAGCCCGACCCGGCGAUCAAAUUCUUGGUGGGAAUCAUCAACUUUAUAAUGUUUUAAUAACGGCUCAUGCUUUUUUAAUGAUCUUUUUUAUGGUUAUGCCGGCGAUGAUAGGUGGAUUUGGUAAUUGGUUUGUUCCGAUUCUGAUAGGUGCACCUGACAUGGCAUUUCCACGAUUAAAUAAUAUAUCAUUCUGGUUGUUGCCACCAAGUCUCUUGCUCCUAUUAAGCUCAGCCUUAGUAGAAGUGGGCAGCGGCACUGGGUGGACAGUCUAUCCGCCCUUAAGUGGUAUUACCAGCCAUUCUGGAGGAGCAGUUGAUUUAGCAAUUUUUAGUCUUCAUCUAUCAGGUAUUUCAUCAAUUUUAGGUUCUAUCAAUUUUAUAACAACUAUCUUCAACAUGCUUGGACCUGGAAUGACUAUGCAUAGAUUACCACUUUUUGUGUGGUCCGUUCUAGUGACAGCAUUCCUACUUUUAUUAUCACUUCCGGUACUGGCGGGGGCAAUUACAAUGUUAUUAACCGAUCGAAACUUUAAUACAACCUUUUUUGAUCCUGCAGGAGGGGGAGACCCAAUAUUAUACCAGCAUCUCUUUUGGUUCUUCGGUCAUCCAGAGGUGUAUAUUCUCAUUCUGCCUGGAUUUGGUAUUAUUAGUCAUAUCGUAUCGACCUUUUCAAGAAAACCGGUCUUCGGGUAUCUAGGCAUGGUUUAUGCCAUGAUAAGUAUAGGUGUUCUUGGAUUUCUAGUUUGGGCUCAUCAUAUGUUUACUGUGGGCUUAGACGUUGAUACGCGUGCCUACUUCACCGCAGCUACCAUGAUCAUAGUUGUGCCCACAGGAAUCAAAAUCUUUAGUUGGAUCGCUACCAUGUGGGGAGGUUCGAUACAAUACAAAACACCCAUGUUAUUUGCUGUAGGGUUCAUCUUUUUGUUCACCAUAGGAGGGCUCACUGGAAUAGUUCUAGCAAACUCUGGGCUAGACAUUGCUCUACAUGAUACUUAUUAUGUGGUUGCACAUUUCCAUUAUGUACUUUCUAUGGGAGCCGUUUUUGCUUUAUUUGCUGGAUUUUACUAUUGGGUGGGUAAAAUCUUUGGUCGGACAUAUCCUGAAACUUUAGGCCAAAUCCAUUUUUGGAUCACUUUUUUCGGGGUUAAUCUGACCUUCUUUCCCAUGCAUUUCUUAGGGCUUUCGGGUAUGCCACGUCGCAUUCCAGAUUAUCCAGAUGCUUACGCCGGAUGGAAUGCUCUGAGCAGUUUCGGUUCUUAUAUAUCCAUAGUUGGGAUUCGUCGUUUCUUCGUAGUUGUCGCAAUCACUUCAAGCAGUGGAAAGAACCAAAAAUGUGCGGAAAGUCCUUGGGCUGUUGAACAGAAUCCAACCACACUAGAAUGGUUGGUACAAAGCCCUCCGGCCUUUCAUACUUUUGGAGAACUUCCAGCGGUAAAAGAGACAAAAAGCUAG
Molecule: ribosomal RNA, 1575 nt
Filed under: Triticum aestivum (bread wheat)
Lineage: Eukaryota; Viridiplantae; Streptophyta; Magnoliopsida; Poales; Poaceae
Description: partial small subunit ribosomal RNA
Source: RNAcentral